GACGAACGCUGGCGGCGUGCUUAACACAUGCAAGUCGAACGCUGAAGCACCAGCUUGCUGGUGUGGAUGAGUUGCGAACGGGUGAGUAAUACGUGAGUAACCUGCCCUUGACUCUGGGAUAAGCCCGGGAAACUGGGUCUAAUACUGGAUGCUACAUGUCACCGCAUGGUGGUGUGUGGAAAGGGUUUACUGGUCUUGGAUGGGCUCACGGCCUAUCAGCUUGUUGGUGAGGUAAUGGCUCACCAAGGCGACGACGGGUAGCCGGCCUGAGAGGGUGACCGGCCACACUGGGACUGAGACACGGCCCAGACUCCUACGGGAGGCAGCAGUGGGGAAGAGUGCACAAUGGGCGAAAGCCUGAUGCAGCGACGCCGCGUGAGGGAUGACGGCCUUCGGGUUGUAAACCUCUUUCAGCAGGGAAGAAGCCACAAGUGACGGUACCUGCAGAAGAAGCGCCGGCUAACUACGUG
RNAcentral lists this ribosomal RNA (470 nucleotides) under uncultured bacterium. Its description in RNAcentral is "partial 16S ribosomal RNA". It matches the Rfam family "Bacterial small subunit ribosomal RNA", at positions 28 to 507 of the family's 1533-position model. The record is from RNAcentral.